AGCUUUAUAGUCAAUAUAUGAUUUUAGACUGCAAUUCUAAAGUAGAAAUUUAAUUUCUAAAGCUU
This 65-nucleotide transfer RNA is filed under the name Acanthosoma labiduroides. RNAcentral describes it as "tRNA-Cys". The record is from RNAcentral. Lineage: Eukaryota; Metazoa; Arthropoda; Insecta; Hemiptera; Acanthosomatidae.